UCAAAAAAACCAGACUACAAGGAUCAUGACUGAUAGCUAAAGUAGAGUAGUGACCGAAGGCUUUAAUUCGAGAAGAAGAACAUAUUCUUUCCGAAAAUACAGCGACAUUUGGUUUGUAAUAUGGAAGUCAGCAGGAACUGCGCGCUUGCGUUUGCGCAGUACAGGGAGUC
This is a long non-coding RNA of Photinus pyralis (common eastern firefly), 170 nucleotides long. RefSeq lists it as uncharacterized. The record is from RefSeq and is a predicted model, not a curated record. The transcript is spliced from 3 exons. NCBI's taxonomy places the organism in Eukaryota, Metazoa, Arthropoda, Insecta, Coleoptera, Lampyridae.